AUUUAUCUAGAGAAAAUGGAUCUGGGCAGCCAAAGAUUUUUUUCCAUUGAUUGUCAUAUAUCAAGUUAGACUUCCUAAUAUUUAUUUUUCCCCUGCAGUUUGUUCAGUGCAAACUCCAGGUAUUAAAAAAAUGAAUAUGUGAAUUCUACCACAGAGGAAAGAGGUUUGGGUUCUCUCAUAUUUAUCAUAUGAGAUUUGCGCUAGAUUUCACUUUUGGGAAAUAUGAAGCCAUGUUGGGAGUCAAAUAUGACAUCUAUUAUUGUCAAAGCCUAUAGAUAUAUGUAGCUUGAAUGGCGAGUUAUGCAGUUGUGGAGCACUUAUCAUUUUGCUAAGAAUCAAGUGUUCUUCAAAAGUCUAGCAGUGUGCUGUAUUGAACCCGCCUAGCCUUCAAUUAUGUGAAGGCUAUCGCCAAUGAACACCUCCCUUAUGCUGUAA
Panicum virgatum (switchgrass) is the source of this 435-nucleotide long non-coding RNA. RefSeq lists it as uncharacterized. The transcript is spliced from 2 exons. Lineage: Eukaryota; Viridiplantae; Streptophyta; Magnoliopsida; Poales; Poaceae. The record is from RefSeq and is a predicted model, not a curated record.